RNAcentral lists this ribosomal RNA (69 nucleotides) under Desulfobacula sp. RNAcentral describes it as "partial 16S ribosomal RNA". It matches the Rfam family "Bacterial small subunit ribosomal RNA", at positions 1 to 69 of the family's 1533-position model. The record is from RNAcentral. Lineage: Bacteria; Pseudomonadati; Thermodesulfobacteriota; Desulfobacteria; Desulfobacterales; Desulfobacteraceae.
UAACUGGAGAGUUUGAUCCUGGCUCAGAAUGAACGCUGGCGGCGUGCUUAACACAUGCAAGUCGAACGA